CCUACGGGAGGCAGCAGUGAGGAAUAUUGGUCAAUGGACGAGAGUCUGAACCAGCCAAGUAGCGUGAAGGAUGACUGCCCUAUGGGUUGUAAACUUCUUUUAUAUAGGAAUAAAAUGUUCCACGUGUGGGAUUUUGUAUGUACCAUAUGAAUAAGGAUCGGCUAACUCCGUGCCAGCAGCCGCGGUAAUACGGAGGAUCCGAGCGUUAUCCGGAUUUAUUGGGUUUAAAGGGAGCGUAGGUGGAUUGUUAAGUCAGUUGUGAAAGUUUGCGGCUCAACCGUAAAAUUGCAGUUGAAACUGGCAGUCUUGAGUACAGUAGAGGUGGGCGGAAUUCGUGGUGUAGCGGUGAAAUGCUUAGAUAUCACGAAGAACUCCGAUUGCGAAGGCAGUUCACUGGACUGCAACUGACACUGAGGCUCGAAAGUGUGGGUAUCAAACAGGAUUAGAUACCCCUGUAGUC
This 460-nucleotide ribosomal RNA is filed under the name uncultured bacterium. RNAcentral describes it as "partial 16S ribosomal RNA". It matches the Rfam family "Bacterial small subunit ribosomal RNA", at positions 338 to 795 of the family's 1533-position model. The record is from RNAcentral.